ACCGAGUAGNGGGGGAGAGCCNUNGGAAACGAUGAUUAAUACCGCAUAUAUCCUACGGGGGAAAGCAGGGGACCUUCGGGCCUUGCGCUAUUCGAUGAGCCUGAGUGAGAUUAGCUAGUUGGUGGGGUAAAGGCCUACCAAGGCGACGAUCUCUAGCUGGUCUGAGAGGAUGAUCAGCCACACUGGGACUGAGACACGGCCCAGACUCCUACGGGAGGCAGCAGUGGGGAAUAUUGCACAAUGGGCGAAAGCCUGAUGCAGCCAUGCCGCGUGUGUGAAGAAGGCCUUAGGGUUGUAAAGCACUUUCAGCGAGGAGGAAAGGUUAGUAGUUAAUAACUGCUAGCUGUGACGUUACUCGCAGAAGAAGCACCGGCUAAUUUAGUGCCAGCNC
RNAcentral lists this ribosomal RNA (391 nucleotides) under uncultured Gammaproteobacteria bacterium. RNAcentral's name for it is "bacterial SSU rRNA". It matches the Rfam family "Bacterial small subunit ribosomal RNA", at positions 128 to 514 of the family's 1533-position model. The record is from RNAcentral. Lineage: Bacteria; Pseudomonadati; Pseudomonadota; Gammaproteobacteria.